GUCCACGCCGUAAACGAUGGAUACUAGCUGUGGGGACUUCGGUCUCCGUGGCCAAGCGAAAGUGAUAAGUAUCCCACCUGGGGAGUACGUUCGCAAGAAUGAAACUCAAAGGAAUUGACGGGGGCCCGCACAAGCGGUGGAGCAUGUGGUUUAAUUCGAUGAUACGCGAGGAACCUUACCAGGGCUUAAAUGCAUUAUGACAGAUCCAGAGACGGAUUUUUCUUCGGACAUAUUGCAAGGUGC
This 243-nucleotide ribosomal RNA is filed under the name uncultured bacterium. RNAcentral describes it as "partial 16S ribosomal RNA". It matches the Rfam family "Bacterial small subunit ribosomal RNA", at positions 793 to 1041 of the family's 1533-position model. The record is from RNAcentral.